Molecule: ribosomal RNA, 433 nt
Filed under: uncultured bacterium
Lineage: Bacteria
Description: bacterial SSU rRNA
Rfam family: Bacterial small subunit ribosomal RNA
Source: RNAcentral
AGAACGAACGCUGGCGGCAGGCCUAACACAUGCAAGUCGAGCGCCCCGCAAGGGGAGCGGCGGACGGGUGAGUAACGCGUGGGAACGUACCCUUUGCUACGGAAUAGCCUCGGGAAACUGGGAGUAAUACCGUAUGUGCCCUUCGGGGGAAAGAUUUAUCGGCAAAGGAUCGGCCCGCGUUGGAUUAGGUAGUUGGUGGGGUAAUGGCCUACCAAGCCGACGAUCCAUAGCUGGUUUGAGAGGAUGAUCAGCCACACUGGGACUGAGACACGGCCCAGACUCCUACGGGAGGCAGCAGUGGGGAAUCUUAGACAAUGGGCGCAAGCCUGAUCUAGCCAUGCCGCGUGAGCGAUGAAGGCCUUAGGGUUGUAAAGCUCUUUCAGUGGGGAAGAUAAUGACUGUACCCACAGAAGAAGCCCCGGCUAACUCCGUG